GGAGAGAUGGCUCAGCGGCUAAGAGCACUGACUGUUCUUCCAGAGGUCCUGAGUUCAAUUCCCAGCAACCACG
This 73-nucleotide transfer RNA is filed under the name Mus musculus (house mouse). RNAcentral describes it as "tRNA-Asn". Lineage: Eukaryota; Metazoa; Chordata; Mammalia; Rodentia; Muridae. The record is from RNAcentral.